This 222-nucleotide long non-coding RNA is filed under the name Prunus persica (peach). Its description in RNAcentral is "long non-coding RNA (PPER_LNC001165)". The record is from RNAcentral. Lineage: Eukaryota; Viridiplantae; Streptophyta; Magnoliopsida; Rosales; Rosaceae.
GAAACUAUCGAUAUUUAAGACCUUGGAUGUAUCCAAUAGAAAAUCCGUCAAUUCAGUGAAUCAUCAAUUCCAGGUAUCACACUCGUGGCCACAAUGUUUGAUACAUCUUCACAGAACUCAGGGGACACAAAGUCUGCCUGAGACGCAAUCCUCGCAGCACAUGGUUCAAGUGUCUCCGAGACUCAUGAGGCAUGGUCAUACGCGCGUAGACUUAUCCAAAAG